AGAGAAGAGCACCUCUGACCAGAUCAUCUUCAUCAUAAACCAUGUUCUCUGCAUCUCUUCUCAUGUUGCUGUUGGCAGCUGCCUCCUGUGUCCAGUGUCAGGUCGUUCUCACACAGGCUGAACAGUCGGUCCAGGGGACCCCUGGGAGAUCCGUCACACUAACAUGUGCCUGCAGUGGAUUCGAUCUGAGUAGCACAUACAUGCACUGGAUCCGACGGGCUCCUGGAAAGGGACUUGAAUGGAUCAUGUAUUAUCAUAGCGACACCUACAAUAGUAAUUCUCAGGCAGUACAGGGCCGUUUCAGUGCAUCGAAGGCCAGGCCUAAUUUCUAUCUACACAUGAACCAGUUAAAGCCAGAGGACUCUGCAGUGUAUUACUGUGCUAGAGACUCACAGUGGUAAAAGUCAUGAGAGAAGCUGUACAAAGACAGGAAGAAUAUGCACAAACAAAAAGACUCCCACAUGCACACACACACUUGCACCCCUACACACAUCUGUACAUCCAAAGUCAGUAUCUUGUUGUUUAGUACUUCUAAUACAACCUGUUUGACACUCAGUUGUACACACAAGCACACAACUUUGCACACAGACACUGUGGGAAAUGAAGGGGAAUUAAUGAGGAACAGUUCUAGUGAUGUAUUAAAUACUAUAACAAAAUAAGAAUGCACAUAUUGGAGAUUUGAAAAAAAAGUUGUUCUAGCUUUGUUCAAGAAACAAGAACUACAUAGUAUCUUAAUUACAUUUCAGAUUCAACCGCAUAGAGGACACAGAGACCAAUUACGUUUGAAAAGGAG
Non-coding RNA from Esox lucius (northern pike), 793 nucleotides. NCBI's taxonomy places the organism in Eukaryota, Metazoa, Chordata, Actinopteri, Esociformes, Esocidae. The record is from the annotation of a RefSeq genome assembly.